RNAcentral lists this ribosomal RNA (1052 nucleotides) under Cronobacter sp. XFP-gy. RNAcentral's name for it is "bacterial SSU rRNA". It matches the Rfam family "Bacterial small subunit ribosomal RNA", at positions 21 to 1065 of the family's 1533-position model. Lineage: Bacteria; Pseudomonadati; Pseudomonadota; Gammaproteobacteria; Enterobacterales; Enterobacteriaceae. The record is from RNAcentral.
GUCCCUGGCGGACGAUAGCCAGGCAAGUCGUAACAGUGAGUCAACGCGAAGAGCAGCUUGCUGCUCUGCUGACGAGUGGCGGACGGGUGAGUAAUGUCUGGGAAACUGCCUGAUGGAGGGGGAUAACUACUGGAAACGGUAGCUAAUACCGCAUAACGUCUACGGACCAAAGUGGGGGACCUUCGGGCCUCAUGCCAUCAGAUGUGCCCAGAUGGGAUUAGCUAGUAGGUGGGGUAACGGCUCACCUAGGCGACGAUCCCUAGCUGGUCUGAGAGGAUGACCAGCCACACUGGAACUGAGACACGGUCCAGACUCCUACGGGAGGCAGCAGUGGGGAAUAUUGCACAAUGGGCGCAAGCCUGAUGCAGCCAUGCCGCGUGUAUGAAGAAGGCCUUCGGGUUGUAAAGUACUUUCAGCGGGGAGGAAGGCGUUGUGGUUAAUAACCACAGCGAUUGACGUUACCCGCAGAAGAAGCACCGGCUAACUCCGUGCCAGCAGCCGCGGUAAUACGGAGGGUGCAAGCGUUAAUCGGAAUUACUGGGCGUAAAGCGCACGCAGGCGGUCUGUUAAGUCAGAUGUGAAAUCCCCGGGCUCAACCUGGGAACUGCAUUUGAAACUGGCAGGCUUGAGUCUCGUAGAGGGGGGUAGAAUUCCAGGUGUAGCGGUGAAAUGCGUAGAGAUCUGGAGGAAUACCGGUGGCGAAGGCGGCCCCCUGGACGAAGACUGACGCUCAGGUGCGAAAGCGUGGGGAGCAAACAGGAUUAGAUACCCUGGUAGUCCACGCCGUAAACGAUGUCGACUUGGGAGGUUGUGCCCUUGAGGCGUGGCUUCCGGAGCUAACGCGUUAAGUCGACCGCCUGGGGGAGUACGGCCGCAAGGUUAAAACUCAAAUGAAUUUGACGGGGGCCCGCACAAGCGGUGGAGCAUGUGGUUUAAUUCGAUGCAACGCGAAGAACCUUACCUGGUCUUGACAUCCAGAGAAUCCUGCAGAGAUGCGGGAGUGCCUUCGGGAACUCUGAGACAGGUGCUGCAUGGCUGUCGUCAGCUCGUGU